RNAcentral lists this transfer RNA (74 nucleotides) under Bradyrhizobium sp. UNPA324. Its description in RNAcentral is "tRNA-Ser". It matches the Rfam family "tRNA". Rfam says of the family: Transfer RNA (tRNA) molecules are approximately 80 nucleotides in length. The record is from RNAcentral. RNAcentral also lists the same sequence under 2 other names. Lineage: Bacteria; Pseudomonadati; Pseudomonadota; Alphaproteobacteria; Hyphomicrobiales; Nitrobacteraceae.
GCACCGGUAGCUCAGCUGGAAAGAGCGCCUGGCUGCUAACUGGGAGGUCGCUGGUUCGAGUCCUGCCCGGUGCA